This 253-nucleotide ribosomal RNA is filed under the name uncultured bacterium. RNAcentral describes it as "partial 16S ribosomal RNA". It matches the Rfam family "Bacterial small subunit ribosomal RNA", at positions 524 to 776 of the family's 1533-position model. The record is from RNAcentral.
UACGAGGGGGGCGAGCGUUGUUCGGAAUUAUUGGGCGUAAAGGGUGCGUAGGCGGUUUGGUAAGUCUUGUGUGAAAUCUACAGGCUCAACUUGUAGUCUGCACGAGAAACUGCCGGGCUUGAGUGUGGGAGAGGUGAGUGGAAUUCCUGGUGUAGCGGUGAAAUGCGUAGAUAUCGAGAGGAACACCUGCGGCGAAGGCGGGUUGCUGGGCCGACACUGACGCUGAUGCGCGAAAGCCAGGGGAGCGAACGGG